This 22-nucleotide small nuclear RNA is filed under the name Arabidopsis thaliana (thale cress). Its description in RNAcentral is "snRNA_00037". The record is from RNAcentral. Lineage: Eukaryota; Viridiplantae; Streptophyta; Magnoliopsida; Brassicales; Brassicaceae.
CUUAUAUUUUAUUUAUUUGUUU